Molecule: ribosomal RNA, 326 nt
Filed under: uncultured bacterium
Lineage: Bacteria
Description: bacterial SSU rRNA
Rfam family: Bacterial small subunit ribosomal RNA
Source: RNAcentral
GAUGAACGCUAGCGGCAGGCUUAACACAUGCAAGUCGAGGGGUAGAAGGAGCUUGCUCCUUUGAGACCGGCGCACGGGUGCGUAACGCGUAUGCAAUCUACCUUUUGCAGAGGGAUAGCCCAGAGAAAUUUGGAUUAAUACCUCAUAGUAUGUGAGGAUGGCAUCAUUUUCACAUUAAAGUCACAACGGCAAAAGAUGAGCAUGCGUCCCAUUAGCUAGUUGGUAAGGUAACGGCUUACCAAGGCAACGAUGGGUAGGGGUCCUGAGAGGGAGAUCCCCCACACUGGUACUGAGACACGGACCAGACUCCUACGGGAGGCAGCAGU